GUUAGGCGCUCCAGCUGAGACCAGACCUAAUUAAUGCACGGAAAGGCUGCUGUAUGCACAGCUAUCUAGGUGGCUCUGCCUUUUCAUCUUUGGACUUUGUCCUAAUCAGAGCGGAUGCCGCUUUUUGAUCAGGUUAUUUGAGGGGCUGUGAGAGUGUCUUCCUUCCCCUUUAUCCUCUUUCAAUCCAUAUCUAUGGCAAACAUUAGACUGUUUCUACUGACAACAGGCAUUUUUGCUUACUAUUGACAGAUUAAUUCUAUUAAUGGCUUAAAAUCCUGCUGUGGUUCUC
Molecule: long non-coding RNA, 289 nt
Organism: Rana temporaria (common frog)
Lineage: Eukaryota; Metazoa; Chordata; Amphibia; Anura; Ranidae
Exons: 3
Source: RefSeq, a predicted model, not a curated record